GCCCUCGUGGCCCAAUUGGUAGAGGCGCCAGGUCGAGAGCCUGGUCAUCGUGCGCGUUCGAGUCGCGCCGAGGGCA
RNAcentral lists this transfer RNA (76 nucleotides) under Plantactinospora sp. CNZ320. RNAcentral describes it as "tRNA-Leu". Lineage: Bacteria; Bacillati; Actinomycetota; Actinomycetes; Micromonosporales; Micromonosporaceae. RNAcentral also lists the same sequence under 6 other names. The record is from RNAcentral.